This 82-nucleotide transfer RNA is filed under the name Echinostoma caproni. It matches the Rfam family "tRNA". From Rfam's summary of the family: Transfer RNA (tRNA) molecules are approximately 80 nucleotides in length. Their secondary structure includes four short double-helical elements and three loops (D, anti-codon, and T loops). The record is from Rfam by way of RNAcentral. Lineage: Eukaryota; Metazoa; Platyhelminthes; Trematoda; Plagiorchiida; Echinostomatidae.
GCUCUCGUAGCUCAAUUAGUAGAGCGUGCGCGUACAAAGCGUGGGCGGCGUCCAUGCGUGGGUUCGAAUCCCACAGAGGUUA